Non-coding RNA from Rattus norvegicus (Norway rat), 2771 nucleotides. Lineage: Eukaryota; Metazoa; Chordata; Mammalia; Rodentia; Muridae. The record is from RefSeq and is a predicted model, not a curated record.
GCUAUUUUCCUACAAAGUGAGUUCCUAUGCUACCUCUACACCCGAGAGUUCUGGAUUCUUUAGAAUCCCUAGAACUGUUCUUGGACUUGUGAUAUCACCCAUUCUGGGCUGCUCCCUUAAUUCCUUUCAAGGCUCAACUCUGUAUUUCAUAUACAAGAUGGCUUUGGUUUUAUUUUAGGAAAAAUCUGAAGGGAAGGUAUUUGUAGUGGAAGGAACAGAACAACAGAAUGAGGAGAAUGUUAAUGAAACAGUAGCACAGUCCCCGGAGACCAAAGUGCCAGUGGCUUUUGUUUAAGGUAAUAACCAGUUUUCUACCUGAGUGGUUUCUAAACACCACAGAAACUUGGCGUGGAACAGGGAUGCUUUCAGAUCUAAGGAACAAUAAACAGCUUGUGUCGACUUUGAAACACUUUCAAGUACUGCAGCUUCCCCACCAGAGGGCAGUUCAUUUGGAGCUCCAUCAUUGCAGGAGCUAUGAGCUUGAGGCUGGCACAAGUACUGUGCCAGCUGUUCACACUUCAAACACAGACCUAGAAAGUGGCUGGGAUCCCCUGGAGGAAAAAGAAUCUCUGGCUUCUUUGUGUUGCAAGCAUGAUUCAGAUCUAAGCACUACUAAUGGGGACUAUGGAUGUCCAAGAGCACUGCUUUGAAAUAGAGAAUGCAGCAGUCUAAAUGGCUAAAUUCCUACAUUCAUCUGCUCAUCUUCAUUGUUUAAACCUCAACUAUCUUGGAGCCAGGAAUGGAUAUCACUCCAGAAGUAGGGAUGACUCCCAACCUUAGUAUCCAAAGAAUGAAGGUUUGAAGAUGUGGCAAGGGUCACCAUCAAGGAGGAAUACAAAUCUACACAUGGCAAGUUCAACCGCACAGUCAAGGCUGACAACAAGAAACUGUUAUCAAUGAGAGAGCCAUCACCAUCUUUCAGGAGCAAGACCCUGCCCAUAUCAAAGGGGUAAUGCUGGUGCAGAAUAUAUUCUUGGAAUUUACUGAUGUCUCACCCAACAGAGAGAAGUCUGGGGCUCAACUUAAGGGUGAUACUGAAUGGGUCAUCAUCUCUGCCCCUUCUGAUGAUUCACCCAUGUUUCUGAUGGGUGUGAACCACAAGAAGUAUGGCAACUCAUUUAAGAUUAUUGACAAUGCUUUCUAUAUCGCCAACUUCAGAGGCCCUUGGUAAAGGUCAUCCGUGACAACUCUAGUAUUAUGAAAGAACUCCUGACCACACUCUGUGAGAUUACUGCCACGUUGAAUACUGGGAAUGUUUCCUUUGAGAAGCUGUUUCUUGAUCACCAUGGGGCUACCCAGAAUAUCUUCUCUGCAUGGUGCUACCAAGUCUGUAGGCAAGGUCAUUCUAGAACUGAACAGGAAUCUCACUGCUAUAACCUUUUGCAUUUCUACCUCCAAUGUAUUCAUCAUUGAUCUAACAUAGCACCUAGAGAAAGCUGCCAAUAUAAUGACAUGAAGAAGUUGGUGAAGCAGCUAUUGAGGGACAACUAAAGGGCAACCUGGGCUGUACUGUGUGCCAAACUAUCUCCUCCAAUUUUAAGAAUGAUGUCCCUUCUUCCAUCUUUUAUGCUGGGGCUAGCAUUGGUCUUAGUGACAAUUUUGUAAAGAGUAUUUCCUAGUAUGACAAUGAAUUUGGCCACAGCAAAGCAGGGGUGGGAAUGAACCUCAUAGACUUCAUGGCCUCUAAGAUUUAAGAAGUCCUUGACCAUCCACCCCAUCAAGAAUAUGAGACCAAGAAAGACAGUGUUACUCAGCUGCUGUGGUGUCCCUGUCCCAACUGAAACCACAAUCUCUCCUCAUAGUUUCAAACCAGAUGCCCAGAAGAAGAGGAAGGGCUUAGGGUGUCCCACUCUCUUGUACAUCAAUAAAAUUCACUGCACUCAUACAAAGAACUGUUACAAAUGUCUAAAUUGGUUCUGUCCCAGAGAAAUAUAAAGGAACUACAUGUAUUGCUGUAAUUUUUCUUAUGACAAAAAGUAUAUUGCCUAAGGAUAUCCACAGAUGACUUCAUUAUAUAAAAGUGCUUUUCAUUUGAGAACUUGAAAUCAAUACCAGAACCCAAUUGCAGAAAGAGAACUGACCCUCAAAUAUUAGCCUCUGAUCUGUAUGUAUAUUCCAUAGUACAUGCAUCUUCACUCAGAGACAUAUCACUCACACACACACACACACACACACACACACACACACACACACACACUCAAAAUUAGUAAUAAUAACACAUUUCAAAUAUAAUUUACUUGGCCUAAUAAGUCUUAAAUAAUAAAAGUAUAUAAUUUUAAAAUAUCAGAAGGCCAACAAAAUAGCUGUGUAUAAAAUGUGCCCCUGAAUAAAGGACAACUCUUGAAAGGUUUUUCUUUGACCCACAAAUACAGUAGUACAUGUGUCUAUAAACAUAAAAACAUACAAACAAAUUAAUGUGUGUAUAUAGAAAUAAAAAAGGCGAAUGGAGAGAUGGCUCAAUGUUUAAGUGCACUUAUUGCUCUUCCAGAAGUCCUGAGUUCAAUUCCUAGCAAUGAUAUGCAGGUUCACAACCAUGUGGGAUUCAAUUCCCUCUUCUGGUAUGUCUGGAUGUAGUUACAACGUACUCACAUACAUAAAAUAAAUAAAGUCUUUUAAAAAAUCAAGAAAAGAGAGGAGGAAGUACAAUGGAUAAACAGUCAAAAGUGAUGGCUAGAGACCCAGUGAAAAGAACAAGCUAGUAACCCAGCCUACGUCCCACCCAUAUUCCAGCACUGAUGAGUGUAAGAUUUUCCACUAAAGUCCAGACAGCA